GACGAACGCUGGCGGCGUGCUUAACACAUGCAAGUCGAACGGAAAGGCCCUGCUUUUGUGGGGUGCUCGAGUGGCGAACGGGUGAGUAACACGUGAGUAACCUGCCCUUGACUUUGGGAUAACUUCAGGAAACUGGGGCUAAUACCGGAUAGGAGCUCCUGCUGCAUGGUGGGGGGGGGAAAGUUUCGGCGGGUGGGGAUGGACUCGCGGCUUAUCAGCUUGUUGGUGGGGUAGUGGCUUACCAAGGCUUUGACGGGUAGCCGGCCUGAGAGGGUGACCGGCCACAUUGGGACUGAGAUACGGCCCAGCCUCCUACGGGAGGAAGCAGUGGGGAAUAUUGCACAAUGGGCGGAAGCCUGAUGCAGAAACGCCGCGUGCGGGAUGCCGGCCUUCGGGUUGUAACCCGCUUUCGCCUGUGACGAAGCGUGAGUGACGGUAAUGGGUAAAGAAGCACCGGCUAACUACGUG
This 468-nucleotide ribosomal RNA is filed under the name uncultured bacterium. RNAcentral's name for it is "partial 16S ribosomal RNA". It matches the Rfam family "Bacterial small subunit ribosomal RNA", at positions 28 to 507 of the family's 1533-position model. The record is from RNAcentral.